RNAcentral lists this ribosomal RNA (253 nucleotides) under uncultured bacterium. Its description in RNAcentral is "partial 16S ribosomal RNA". It matches the Rfam family "Bacterial small subunit ribosomal RNA", at positions 524 to 776 of the family's 1533-position model. The record is from RNAcentral.
UACAGAGGGUGCGAGCGUUAAUCGGAAUUACUGGGCGUAAAGCGCACGUAGGCGGCUUGGUAUGUCGGGUGUGAAAUCCCCGGGCUCAACCUGGGAACUGCAUCCGAAACUGCCUUGCUCGAGUAUGGGAGAGGGAAGUGGAAUUUCCGGUGUAGCGGUGAAAUGCGUAGAUAUCGGAAGGAACAUCAGUGGCGAAGGCGACUUCCUGGACCAAUACUGAUGCUCAGGUGCGAAAGCGUGGGGAGCAAACAGG